AGUGUUAUCGAUAGGACAGAUGAAGU
RNAcentral lists this non-coding RNA (26 nucleotides) under Mus musculus (house mouse). The record is from RNAcentral. Lineage: Eukaryota; Metazoa; Chordata; Mammalia; Rodentia; Muridae.